RNAcentral lists this ribosomal RNA (433 nucleotides) under uncultured bacterium. RNAcentral describes it as "partial 16S ribosomal RNA". It matches the Rfam family "Bacterial small subunit ribosomal RNA", at positions 29 to 507 of the family's 1533-position model. The record is from RNAcentral.
AGCGAACGCUGGCGGCAGGCCUAACACAUGCAAGUCGAACGAAAUCUUCGGAGUUAGUGGCGGAGGGGCGAGGAACACGAGGGAACGCGCCAUUUGGAUUGGGAUAAUUCAGGGUAGCCUGGGUUAAUACCGACUGCGCCCUCCGGGGGAAAGAUUUAUCGUCAUUAUAGCGGCACGCGUCUAACUAGCUAGUUGGUGAGGUAUCGGCACACCAAGGAGACGAUCAGUAGCUGGUUUGAGAGCAAGUCCAGCCACACUGGGACUGAGACACGGUCCAGACUCCUACGAGAGGCAGCAGGGGGGAAUUUUGCGCUAGGGGCGACAGCCUGACGCAGCCUGGCCGCGAGAAUAAUGAUGGUCUUAGGAUUGUACUAUUCUUUCUCCGGGGACGAUAAUGACGGUACCCAAAGAAGAAGCCCCGGCUAACUUCGUG